CUCUCUCUCUCUCUCUCUCUCUCUCUCUCACACACACACACACACACACACACACACACACACACACACACACACACACACACACACACACACACACACACACAUUUUUACACCUUCAAGAUAUUUUUAUUGAGCUAUUUUUACAGGUGUGUGUGUGUGUGUGUGUGUGUGUGUGUGUGUGUGUGUGUGUGUGUGUGUGUGUGUGUGUGUGUGUGUGUGUGUGUGUGUGUGUGUGUGUGUGUGUGUGUGUGUGUGUGUGUGUGCCUGACAGGUGUGUAUUCUUUCCCUCUACAAUCGUUAAUUCUCCCUUUAAAUUUCCCUCCCUUUCCUUCCCACCCUUUAUUUUUUCCCCUUUUCCUCGUUUUAUUUCCCCUUUUUCUUCCCUAAACAAACAUUAUUUGCCUUGUAUUUCCCGUACAGUUUUUUUUUUUAUUUACUUACGUUCCUCAUUCUCUCUCUCUCUCUCUCUCUCUCUCUCUCUCUCUCUCUCUCUCUCUCUCUCUCUCUCUCUCUCUUUCCCCAAAUCUUGUCUCACCGGAGUUGCUUGGCGGGAGAAGUAGCGCUUUGUGUUCUUGUUUUGUUUUUUGUUGUUUUUCUUCUCGUUAUCAUAAUUCAGUGUCACUUUUUUUUUCUUUUAGUUAUUUUCCUCCUAUUCCUCCUCCUCCUCCUCCUCCUCCUCCUCCUCCUCCUCCUCCUCCUCCUCCUCCUCCUCCACCCCCAAACACACCUGUCGCGGCCACUGAUUAGCACCGGAAGUGACGUCACAGAUCCCUAGCUUGUCCCACGUAACUCUAGAUAAAUGACUAUAUUAGUUUCCGAGGCUCAUUGUGAUAAUCGUGUUGGGAUUUCAUAAGUGAACAUAAUAAUAGUUAAUUUAUAAUAAUAAUAAUAAUAAUAAUGAUAAUAUUAAUAGUAAAUACUAGUCGUGUCUUUUUCAAUUGUUCUCAAUGUGUCGGCUUUUUUUUUCCAUUUCUUAUAAUAUUUCUUUUUACUCUUAAUGAUGUGAUUUUUUAUUAUAUAAUCUAUUUUUUUGUAUUUAUUUCUUUAUUUCUUUUAAUAUAAGGGUAGAUUAGUGUAACCGAAGGGGAUUUCUUGCAGACGCGCGUGAGUGAACAGGGGAGUUGGCACUGGUGGGGCCCCGGCGUGGUGAGGGCUAGUGUAGUAGGGGUGGGAGGGUCCGGGGGUGAAGACAGGGCGGGGCAUUCAGUAGCCUGGAGCGAGUUAAUUAAGUAAGUCGCCCCUGAAGGUUGUGUGCGUGCGGGUGAACAGAAAACGGGGGUGAAGGGCAAACAGAAAACCAGCUCACGUACGUCAACAAACUACUACUACUACUACUACUACUACUACUACCACAUAGAAAACGAAGACAUCCCUUUUGAAAUCGUCCAUUUUCAGAAAACUCAACUUAUAAUGAUAAAAAGAUAAAUAAAUAAGAUAAAUAUGAAAAAAUUAGUCAUUGUAAUAAUAAUAAUGAUGAUAAUGUCUGUCUGUUUCCUCCUUAGAAAAAAAUAUAAAACAAAAAAUCCGCCCUCAUAUUCCACUAACCCUUUUCUUUCCCCAGUUUUUUUUUUCCCCUCCCUCCUUCCCUCCCUUUUUCCCCUUUCCCCUUCCCCUCACCCAUUCCUCAAAAAAAAAAAAAAAACACACACGUCUCUUUUUUUACAUUAACAUAAAUAUGAUAGAAGAAUGAUUUUUUUUUGCCUCUUAUUUACGUUUUUUUUUUUUUCGGGUAGAUAUUUUUUGGGCCCGUUUUGAGGGAAAUUUUUGUACACGAGAGAAAACGGAAUGUUGGUAGGGGGAACUCAAGUCUCUCCCGGGAAGGACAUUUUUUACGGUGCCUUAAUAAACUGGAAUGUUUUGCUGCGACGUGAACCUUUCGUUGGGGGGAAGCAGGAAAGUAGGAAUAAAAAAGGAGGAGAAAGAAAUAAAAAGAUAAGAGAGAGAGAGAGAGAGAGAGAGAGAGAGAGAAAGAAAAAAAGAAUAGUGAUAGUUUAAAGAAUGUAGGAGAAAGAAAAAUAAGAUAAAAAGAGAGAAGAAAGAUGGUGUAAAGAGCAAAAGGAGGAAAAUAAAAGAUAGUGAUGAUAAAUGGAAUUGCGUAGGAAGAAAAUUAAUAAAGCAUGUAAGAAAUGGAAAAUAAAUAGAAGAAUAAACAGUUAAAAGAAGAAUAAUGAAAAGAUUUUGAAUAAGAAUGACUGAAAAGCAUGGAGGAAAAAAAAAGAAACACGUGGGAAUAGAAAAAAGGAAGGAAUGAAGAUAGAAAUAAAAAAAAAAUAAUGAAGAAUGAAAGAUACUGAUAAGGGUGAAUGUAUAAAAGAAUAAGGGAGAAAAUAGGUAAGAGAGAGAGAGAGAGAGAAAGAGAGAGAGAGACCUUUAUUAGAAUUAUUGAAAGAGCAUCGUUGGAAAGUAUAACGAAAGAAAAUGG
This is a long non-coding RNA of Portunus trituberculatus (swimming crab), 2422 nucleotides long. RefSeq lists it as uncharacterized. The record is from RefSeq and is a predicted model, not a curated record. NCBI's taxonomy places the organism in Eukaryota, Metazoa, Arthropoda, Malacostraca, Decapoda, Portunidae. The transcript has 2 exons.